RNAcentral lists this ribosomal RNA (83 nucleotides) under Bacillus licheniformis. RNAcentral also lists the same sequence under 1 other name. Lineage: Bacteria; Bacillati; Bacillota; Bacilli; Caryophanales; Bacillaceae. The record is from RNAcentral.
UUUGGUGGCGAUAGCGAAGAGGUCACACCCGUUCCCAUGCCGAACACGGAAGUUAAGCUCUUCAGCGCCGAUGGUAGUUGGGG